RNAcentral lists this ribosomal RNA (467 nucleotides) under uncultured bacterium. Its description in RNAcentral is "partial 16S ribosomal RNA". It matches the Rfam family "Bacterial small subunit ribosomal RNA", at positions 28 to 506 of the family's 1533-position model. The record is from RNAcentral.
GACGAACGCUGGCGGCGUGCUUAACACAUGCAAGUCGAACGGAAAGGCCCUGCUUUUGUGGGGUGCUCGAGUGGCGAACGGGUGAGUAACACGUGAGUAACCUGCCCUUGACUUUGGGAUAACUUCAGGAAACUGGGGCUAAUACCGGAUAGGAGCUCCUGCUGCAUGGUGGUGGUUGGAAAGUUUCGGCGGUUGGGGAUGGACUCGCGGCUUAUCAGCUUGUUGGUGGGGUAGUGGCUUACCAAUGCUUUGACGGGUAGCCGGCCUGAGAGGGUGACCGGCCGCAUUGGCACUGAGAGACGGCCCAGACUGCUACGGCAGGAAGAAGUGGGGAAUAUAGAACGACGGGCCGAGGCCCGAUGCAGCAACGCCGCGUGCGGGAUGACGGCCUUCGGGUGGUAAACUGAUUUCGCCUGUGACGCAGAGUGAGUGACUGUAAUGGGUAAAGAAGCACCGGCUAACUACGU